This is an RNA transcript of Pan troglodytes (chimpanzee), 2029 nucleotides long. It is a transcript of the gene named armadillo like helical domain containing 1, with no coding region annotated. The record is from RefSeq and is a predicted model, not a curated record. Lineage: Eukaryota; Metazoa; Chordata; Mammalia; Primates; Hominidae. The transcript is spliced from 12 exons.
GUCCCCACCCUCUCAUGUAGGUGAGAGGCGGCUGAAGAGUUGCUGUAUUCUGGGAAUGGGCAGGGUCACUUGUCCGAACAGAGUCCUAUCCUACGCGGCGGAAGCGUGUGCCCUUUGACUUGCAUCGUCUACCUACCUCUGCCAUCCUCUACCAGCCGCAACUGCGAGGGCUGGAGGUUGGUCCGCAGUCAUUCACCUGGUUCUUAAGGCCAGCUAGAUUUCGUGGUUAUCUCCAUCCCGGAGGCUGCGUGGACGCCCUUCUGGAAGCACACAUCCCAUGUCCUCUGGGGAGUAGUAGAGCCAACUUCAGGACUGAUUGAUCAUGACUUCUAUAAAGGAGCAGGCAGCAAUUAGCAGGCUCUUAAGUUUUUUACAGGAGUGGGACAACGCUGGCAAAGUCGCAAGGAGUCACAUCCUCGACAAGUUCAUUGAAACCAACCAAGGCAAGACUGCCCCUGAACUGGAGCAGGAGUUUUCCCAGGGAGCCAGUUUGUUCCUGGUACGCUUGACCACCUCGCUUAGAAUCACCUAUAUGACUGACUCAUGUUUAGAAAAGCUUCUCAGGUCCAUUGGCAUCUUCUUAUCAGCUGUAAGCAGUAAUAGGUACCUUAUAGAAUUUCUUGAGGUUGGAGGUGUCCUAACACUCUUGGAAAUACUUGGGCUAGAGAAGAUCAAGGAGGAGGCCAAGAAGGAAUCUGUCAAACUACUUCAGGUUAUUGCGAACUCUGGCAGGACAUACAAGGAGCUCAUUUGUGAAAGCUAUGGUGUACGAUCCAUAGCAGAAUUUUUGGCAAAGUCUAAGUCAGAAGAGACCCAGGAGGAAGUGCAGGUUCUGUUGGAUUCUUUGGUCCACGGCAAUCCCAAGUACCAAAAUCAAGUGUAUAAAGGUCUAAUAGCUUUGCUGCCCUGCGAGUCCCCGAAAGCCCAGCAGCUGUCCCUGCAGACUCUCAGGACUGCCCAGCCAAUCAUUGGGACCACACACCCCAGCAUCGUGGACUGCGUGCUGAAGGUGCUGGGCACGAUGCACCUGGAAGUCCAGUAUGAAGCCAUCGAGUUGAUCAAGGACCUGGUCGGUUACGAUGUGCGCCAGGCGCUGCUCAAAGGCCUCGUGGCGCUGCUGAUACCGUCGGUCAAGGAGACCUCCAAACUGCAGGCCAAGAUCCUCAGUGGUAAGGACCUGCUCAAAUGGGGCUGCCUGGGCCACGGGAGGGCGGUCUCUUGCCUCACGGCUGCCCCCUCCUCAGACCCCUCGGUUCUCCAGCUCACCCCCAGCCUGCCGAUGUUUUUGCAGCAGGCCGCGGCCGCCAAGGCCAUCGGCCUGAACCCCCGGCCCAGGGUCCUGGCGCGCAACGACAUGAGCAUCGCCGAGGAGCUGCUGUACCUGCGCGUGGUGCGUGGCCUAAUGGCCGCCAUGGGCAACACGGACCACAGCAACAGCCAGCGGCUGGCCAGCCUCACGCUGGAGUGCUUCGUGCAGAUGUUCCCCUUGGUGGCGGAGCACGUGCGCAAGUGCAUGGGGGAGGAACUCUACCAGCUCUUCCUGGCUGCCGACCCGCCCCCCACCUGCAACAUCCCUCUGCCAAGCCCAACUCCAAGUCCAGACUGCCCUGGCACCCCAGCCGGGUCCCCCUUGCUCCUGUCCUCAGAGCAACGCUGAGGACUUGUACAUGAAAAUAGACAGCAUUCAGGCGGACAUCUUGGCGGCCAACACAGUCAAUGUUACCAAAGCCCUGUGCCUCCAUGGCAGCUCCUACAGCAUGAACACUCUCUAUGGCUCGCGUGAUUCGGCUCAGAUGGCCUACCUCACACACUUCGAGGAGGAUGUAGAAUCAAAGGAGUAACAGCCCCUGUGGCAAACCAGGAAGGCCAAGGCUGCGGGGCAGGGAAGCCUGGCAAGAGGAAGGCGCCUGGGGUCAAGCUCAGAGCCACUCCACUUGGCUCCAAGGGGGAGACGGGGAUUAGGCACCCCAGAGGGGCAGAGGGAGAGCCGCUGGCUGCGAAGAGUCAAUAAACAGCCUUGAUACCUGUC